GACAAUUUGCCUGAGUGGUUAAAGGGUGUGACUCGAAAUCACAUGGGCUCUGCCCGCGCAGGUUCGAGUCCUGCAGUUGUCG
Molecule: transfer RNA, 82 nt
Filed under: Apophysomyces sp. BC1034
Lineage: Eukaryota; Fungi; Mucoromycota; Mucoromycetes; Mucorales; Mucoraceae
Also listed under: 2 other names
Rfam family: tRNA
About the family: Transfer RNA (tRNA) molecules are approximately 80 nucleotides in length. Their secondary structure includes four short double-helical elements and three loops (D, anti-codon, and T loops).
Source: Rfam by way of RNAcentral